Molecule: ribosomal RNA, 482 nt
Filed under: uncultured bacterium
Lineage: Bacteria
Description: bacterial SSU rRNA
Rfam family: Bacterial small subunit ribosomal RNA
Source: RNAcentral
UCAGGAUGAACGCUGGCGGCGUGCCUAACACAUGCAAGUCGAGCGGAGAUAGUUGAAGCCUAGCGAUGACUAUCUUAGCGGCGGAUGGGUGAGUAACACGUGGGUUACCUGCCCUGUACUGGGGAAUAACAGCUGGAAACGGCUGUUAAUGCCGCAUAUGCGCACGGAGCCGCAUGGCCCUGGGCGGAAAGAUUUAUCGGUACAGGAUGGGCCCGCGCCGGAUUAACUAGUUGGCGGGGUAACAGCCCACCAAGGUGAUGAUCCGUAGCCGACCUGAGAGGGUGACCGGCCACAUUGGGACUGAGACACGGCCCAAACUCCUACGGGAGGCAGCAGUGGGGGAUAUUGCACAAUGGGGGAAACCCUGAUGCAGCGACGCCGCGUGAAGGAUGACGUAUUUCGGUAUGUAAACUUCUAUCAGCGGGGAAGAAGAUGACGGUACCCGACUAAGAAGCCCCGGCUAACUACGUGCCAGCAGCCGC